This 387-nucleotide ribosomal RNA is filed under the name uncultured bacterium. RNAcentral describes it as "bacterial SSU rRNA". It matches the Rfam family "Bacterial small subunit ribosomal RNA", at positions 29 to 420 of the family's 1533-position model. The record is from RNAcentral.
AUUGAACGCUGGCGGCAGGCCUAACACAUGCAAGUCGAGCGCGAAAGGCCUUCGGGCUGAGUAGAGCGGCGGACGGGUGAGUAACGCGUAGGAAUCUACCUGGUAGUGGGGGACAACUUGGGGAAACUCAAGCUAAUACCGCAUACGCCCUAUGGGGGAAAGUGGGGGACCUUCGGGCCUCACGCUAUCAGAUGAGCCUGCGUAGGAUUAGCUAGUUGGUGAGGUAAAGGCUCACCAAGGCGACGAUCCUUAGCUGGUCUGAGAGGAUGAUCAGCCACACUGGGACUGAGACACGGCCCAGACUCCUACGGGAGGCAGCAGUGGGGAAUAUUGCGCAAUGGGGGCAACCCUGACGCAGCCAUGCCGCGUGUGUGAAGAAGGCCUCGG